GUGGGGAAUAUUGGGCAAUGGGGGAAACCCUGACCCAGCAACGCCGCGUGAGGGAAGAAGGUUUUCGGAUUGUAAACCUCUGUCCUUGGUGACGAAGGAAGUGACGGUAACCAAGGAGGAAGCCCCGGCUAACUACGUGCCAGCAGCCGCGGUAAUACGUAGGGGGCAAGCGUUGUCCGGAAUGACUGGGCGUACAGGGCGUGUAGGCGGCCGAUUAAGUCUGGAGUGAAAGUCCUGCUUUCAAGGUGGGAAUUGCUUUGGAGACUGGUUGGCUUGAGUGCGGAAGAGGUAAGUGGAAUUCCCAGUGUAGCGGUGAAAUGCGUAGAGAUUGGGAGGAACACCAGUGGCGAAGGCGACUUACUGGGCCGUAACUGACGCUGAGGCGCGAAAGCGUGGGGAGCGAACAGGAUUAGAUACCCGGGUAGUCC
This 428-nucleotide ribosomal RNA is filed under the name uncultured bacterium. RNAcentral's name for it is "partial 16S ribosomal RNA". It matches the Rfam family "Bacterial small subunit ribosomal RNA", at positions 354 to 796 of the family's 1533-position model. The record is from RNAcentral.